This 213-nucleotide non-coding RNA is filed under the name Rhodovulum sp. The record is from RNAcentral. Lineage: Bacteria; Pseudomonadati; Pseudomonadota; Alphaproteobacteria; Rhodobacterales; Paracoccaceae. RNAcentral also lists the same sequence under 1 other name.
GGGCAUGACACCCGCGCUGGUGCCUGCCAUCGGGCAGGUGAAAAGGGAAUGCGAUAAGGGCCGCGAGGUCCGAAGCGCAGCCGCCCCCGCGACCGUGACCGGAGAGGUUGCCCCACCGCCACUGGCCGACAAGGCCGGGAAGGCAGGACAACCGCCAGACUCAAGGGUCUGACAUCCGCAAGCCGGGAGACCUGCCAGCGCAAGACGACGAAA